UCUGUAGCUCAGUUGGUUAGAGCACUGCACCGGAAUCAAGGGCUGCAGGUUCGAUUCCAACUGCUCCUGGUUUAUAGGGCCAAUAAAUGUAUAAAAAUUCCACAAUGACUACAAAUUAUCAGGUAUAUCAAGUGAGAUCCCCAAAAUCCUAGAUAUCUUCCCCAAAAGUGUACUUACCUGUACCAAUUUCACACGCUUUUCCUUCUCUUGUUUUUUUCCACUGAACUGCUGGCCUUGCUUUUUACUAUCAGUUUGUUUCUUCUGUCCCUCAUCGUUUGUCUUUUCAGAAUUCUGUCCUUCGUUUUUUUGUGCAUUAUUCCGAUUAUUCUUCCUUCGUCUUUGAUUUAUCGACGGACGUGAACGAGCAUUCGUAACCCCAUUCAUAAUGCCAACACUCCAACAGUUCUAGUUGACUACAGCUCUCAGACAGGAAGCUCAAAGCAAUCACAAUUCAAAUGUGGCCAUGUCAACAGAUUCGGCAAAUUAUGUUGGCUUACAGUUGAUUGCGAAAAUCACUUCGAGACGUGCAUUUUCUGCCCGGAUUAGAUAGCAUUUGGUAGACGUAUUCCUGCUGAGUUACUUCAAUUCUUUUAAAAGAUUCUACAUCGCAGAAGUAAGCAGCUAAAGAUAAAACAAACACACGUGCAAAUCUUCCAAGAAAUCAUUAAAUUUCAUAUUU
Paramuricea clavata is the source of this 679-nucleotide non-coding RNA. Lineage: Eukaryota; Metazoa; Cnidaria; Anthozoa; Malacalcyonacea; Plexauridae. The record is from the annotation of a GenBank genome assembly.